CCCUUAGAUGUUCUGGGCCGCACGCGCGCUACACUGACGCAGCCAGCGAGCAUCUCCUGCGCCGAAAGGUGCGGGGAAUCUUGUGAAACUUCGUCGUGCUGGGGAUUGAUUUUUGAAAUUCUUGAUCAUAAACGAGGAAUUCCUAGUAAGCGCAAGUCAGCAGCUUGCGUUGAUUACGUCCCUGCCCUUUGUACACACCGCCCGUCGCUACUACCGAUUGAAUGGUUUAGUGAGAGAUCUGGACUGGGACCCUCUCGUUCAGCAAUGAACGAGGGGGAGACUGGGAAGUUUUUCUAACUGAAUCAUUUAGAGGAAGUAAAAGUCGUAACA
RNAcentral lists this ribosomal RNA (330 nucleotides) under uncultured eukaryote. RNAcentral's name for it is "partial 18S ribosomal RNA". It matches the Rfam family "Eukaryotic small subunit ribosomal RNA", at positions 1470 to 1796 of the family's 1831-position model. The record is from RNAcentral.